Molecule: long non-coding RNA, 626 nt
Filed under: Elaeis guineensis (African oil palm)
Lineage: Eukaryota; Viridiplantae; Streptophyta; Magnoliopsida; Arecales; Arecaceae
Description: long non-coding RNA (EGUI_LNC066423)
Source: RNAcentral
GAGAGGAGUAGUCUUAUGAGAUUUGAGAGGCUAAGUCCAAGAGUCUGUGGUCAUAGUAGUGUGAUUGAUGAAAAAGAGUUUUCAUAAAAGUCACAACUGGACCUGAGCUAAUCAAUCUAUCAUAUGACUAAUGUUGAGGUUUAAUGAUUUAUCCAUGACCUGCCAUCUAGUCAGGACUCAUGAUAGAGGGACUAAAUUACAUAUUAACUACACCUAGAAGUUCAUUUCAGUUCUACUGGAUUGUCACUACAUAUUGCUAGAUGUCGCUAGUGGAUUGUGAGAGCUCACUAGGAGUUGUUUUNNNNNNNNNNNNNNNNNNNNUAGUGUCGGAGUUUCUGACAUUUUGUAUUCGGAUUGAAUACAAAGGAUAGUGGAUUGAAAUUCCCAAGUGGGAUCUUGGGGAGUGGAUGUAGGUGCAAGGUUAGCACCGAACCACUAUAAAUCCUUGUGUUUGUGGUGUGCUUUAUCGCUUUAUCUUAUUUCUAUAUUAUAUCCUUGCAAUACUACUUUAGGUAAUUAAUAUUGAUUUAAAGCCAUUGUUUUGUUCUUCAUAAGUUAUUUGUUGGGCUUAAAAUUAUUAGAAACCCAAUUCACCCCCCCUCUUGGGUUGCAUAGCUGGGCAACAA